Molecule: long non-coding RNA, 13447 nt
Filed under: Triticum aestivum (bread wheat)
Lineage: Eukaryota; Viridiplantae; Streptophyta; Magnoliopsida; Poales; Poaceae
Description: long non-coding RNA (TAES_LNC010207)
Source: RNAcentral
UAGAAUCCAAGCAUCAGCCUCCUUGUAAGCACAACAAUGUAGAUGAAAGACAGAAAAACUCUGAUGAAUGUUUUCUUUCCUAUGUAAUAAUCCGAUACACCAUGAACGUGAGAAACAAACGUUUCUUAAAGACACUGACUAAAACAGUGGAGGUUUGAUAGCAAGGCCAUGAACAAAACAACAGCGAGUUGUUUUAUAGCACACACCUUAACUAAUUAUCUUUUCAGAGAGCAGGGAAGCUUGCCAAAUCUGUGUUGAUUACCCCAGCAUCUUCAGCUCAUGAAUACGUAACCAGUCGUCUCAACUUGCAGCGAAGUCACAGACCACGAGUCUAAUACAUUUGGCACUUUGUGACCUGGUAAAUUGCGAAAUAAUCCAUCACUGCCUUGAGUAUUUAAUAACAUAUACAGCAGGAUGAUCGAUGGUUCAGUUCAGAUUAAAAUUAUUUACUUACCCUCUGCAUAAUGGUUGAUUGUCUUGUUCUAUAAGCAGGGAAACUUGGGGUUCAAGUUCCAGGCUUCCAACCCAUCGGUGGUUUCUUGGCAUACAGGGAAACUUGUGUUCCAAGUUCUAGGCUUCCAACCAAUCGGUGGUUUUCUGAAUUUAGUAUCUCAUUGGCAUGCUGCAAACUGAUGUAGUGUCAUAUGUCAACAGAUUUUAAUUAAAAAAAAUGUCUGGAUGGAAGUUUCAGGGACACUUCCCUGAAACCUCCAAACUCAGUAUUAAUUUAUCCAUGUGGUAUACCAUCAGAAUGGGACUUCUCAGCUAUAUAACAUCAUUGAACGCUGGAGCGCCUCCUAUUUCUGUGCAUCCAUUUGUUCAAGACAUACGAGCUUGUUAAGUUCUAGCUUUACUUGUUGUAGAAUAAGUACCAGAGAAAUGGAGCCGCAGGAAGGAAGGAAAGGGAUACCAUCUCUGCUGUCCUCGCAGGGGGAGUGCAUCGCCACCAACAUCACGCAGGUGCCUACUUUCUCUGUAUAUAGUCAUUAUUCCUUCACUGUACAAAGCUUGUUAUCUUUAAUCUGCAAGUAAAUUCUAUGCCUUCCAGCUCAUUGGUUGGACACCACUGAUAGAACUGAGAAACAUCACUGAGAAAGACGGCAUAGGUGCUCGGCUUAUUGGGAAGAUUGAGCCGUACCAGCCCCUUUCCUCUGUGAAGGAUCGGAGUGCUCUCAGGUGGCUGCUCUUUUUACUCCCUUCCGAGGAAGACAUUCUUCACCUCAAAUGUACCAUACACAACGUCACGAGUUUCGACAACAAUAUGAAUGAAUGAAACUUUUUGCAGAUUGAUCGAAGAUGCAGAGGAGAAAGGCUUGAUCACACCUGGCAUCACAACGCUGCUGGGGGUCACGAGUGGUAAUCUCGGCAUCGGCGUGGCGUUCAUUGCUGCUCAGAAAGGAUACAAGUUCAUCGCCCUCAUGCCUGCUAAACUCUCGCUUGAUAAGCAGAUACUAAUGCGAUUCCUUGGCGUAGAAGUGGUAUUAGUUGGUAAGGACCUGAGGUACCAUGACCCUCAUAUCACGUGCCAGAUGGUAACAUCCUUGUCUCCUGCAGAUGCUGUACAGCAUGGAUUCAAAGCUUUACUCGAUAGGGUAGAACAGAUGAAGAAGGAUGUGGAAGAUGUGUAUGUUCUAGAUCAAUUCACCAACCCUGCAAAUCCCGAUGCCCACUUCAGAUGGACUGGUAAGUGGUAACACAAUCUAUUUGAACUAAAUUGGAUGCAGUAGCAGUAGCGUUUGAGUAACUUUAGAUUGUUUGACUAUAAGGCCCAAAACUCAGUCGAAGACUAUGAACUGACUAACUUAUAAGAUGUUGAAAUAAAUUGAUGGAUGAUAUGCAAUAAAUGUUGCUAUGUGGUGUUGGCCUCUGCAGGAUCACACUUCCAUGCAACGUUCUACUCUUUAUUUGUAUUUUAUUUUAUUUUUGAGAUUCCUGACUAAAAAAAGAACCUCGGCACUAAUGCAUCGAACUAAAUAUGUCCUUAGGACCUGAGAUAUGGAAAGAUACAGCAGGCAAAGUGGACAUAUUUAUAGCUGCUUCAGGUUCAGGCGGCACCAUCACAGGCGUGGGGAGGUAUCUCAAGACGAAGAACCCAUUUGUAAAAUUAAUAUGCGUUGAACCAGCUGAAAGUCCAGUGAUUUCAGGCAAGAAACUACUACUACUAUGAUAAAUAUAUUGAAUAAAUGAUACUCCUGCUAGACAUGCUUGGCUAUGCUCAUCAGUAACCUGGCUACCUUUCUUGGAUUGUAACUCAGUAAGACCUUCCCUGCCUAUGAUCUGUAGGUGGCGAGCCAGCCUUCCACAACAUCCUAGGAAUAGGGCCAGGUUUUGUCCCAGAAAUACUGGAUAGAUCCCAGAUAGAUGAAAUUGUAACAGUAACUACUCAAGAAGCUAUGGACAUGGCUAGAAGGUUGGCAAGGGAAGAAGGGUUGCUUGUUGGCAUAUCUUCAGGCGCAAAUGCAGCCGCCUGCUUAAAGGCAAGCUCUCUUUUUCAACAGUCUAGGAUCUUUUCUCAUUUGCAGAUGCUACAGUGAAUGCUAUAUAAAUCCACUUAUUAUGCAGUCCUCUGAUUCGGGUACUUCCUCAUAGGUUGCAUCAAGAGAGGAGAACAGGGGAAAGAUGAUUGUGACAAUGUUUUCCAGUGGUGCAGAGAGGUAUCUGAAUUCAGAGCUCUUUGCGCAGGUGAAGGAAGAGUGCGUCAACAUCAACAUGACCUUCUGAUGUUCAGGUCGAGGCAAUGACAGCUUAGGGAUGAUCCAGAAGGGUAGUCUUAUCAUAAUACCAGAUACUGUUUAAUAAUUAAGAGAUGAAAGAAAACACGCUAGUGUCAUAAGUACAAACCAUAUGGUUGCAGGUUACAGAGGAUAGCGGUAUAAUACUAUGGUUGAGGAAUCACCUCAAACACACUAUGGUUGAUCCAUCAUGAGCCCUCAUUUGUACUAGCCUUACGCUUGUAUGAAGGAUGACAUGGUGAUAUAGACCAACCCAUUGCAUUCCUCGAAGUGAGUUAAGUUCAGAGCUAGAAUCUCAUGGUCCAUUCGGUAUUAAUUACUAAAACCAAACACCCAUACUUGUCCAUCACCAUACUGUUGAUAUAAAAGAAACAUUUUUUUUGCAGUAUAAAACAAAUCAAAUUUACUGAGACAUCCAGUUAACCUUCUGGUAUUCUGCCCAACAUGCAACGACGAGGGUGACCCUAACUGUCACAUGACCUAGCAUGGUUACAUAGUUCCAACUUCCAUGGCUGGGAUCACUUGAAGCAGGGCCGUCCUCAGAAAUUGGGGGCCCUGCGCGUCUGCAAUUAGGCCCUAAGUAUGGAAAAGGUAGUUGUAGCUGUGUGCAUCGCAAUGAUGCAGAGGCCAGGGAUUAAGCCUCCUUUUCGGGAAAAAGAGAAAAAUUAUUUAUCAUGCUAGUAAUACAAUUUUAUGCAAGAAUUAUAUCUUGCCAAAAGGCAACUCUUCGAACCCUUAAUAAUUACUCCCUCUGUAAACAAAUAUAAGAUGUUUUCAGAGGGAGUACUAAACUAAUUUUUACUUGAAAAGCGGCAUCCUUCUGGCAUUUAAUUACACAGUUUCUUCCACCUAGUUGCUGCAAUUGUCAACUGGGAAUAGAGGAAAUAAUACCAGGCGAGUUCGACGGAUAUCCAUGAAAGAAUAGGGCAACAUUAUUGCUAAUGUGAUUCUCUAAGAGCAACUCCAUCAGGGCCCCUAAACACAGCCCCCAAACAGUUUUGGGGGGCUAAGGCCAAAAAAUCGGCUCCAGCAAGGCCCCUACUGUUUGAAAGGAGGUUAAACCAAAAAUUCAGCUUCGGCAGGACCCCUACUGUUUGAAGGAAGAUGCCGGAUGAGUCCAGGAAUAACAAAAAGCUUUCAUCUCCUGUUUGAAAGGAAUCUCGACUAGUCUUAUGAAGAGAGGAGGAAACCUUGAGUAGUGUGGCCAGGAGACCUGCUGGUCAAGCGAGUACUCCAAAAUGUGUGGAUGCCCCCCCACCCCACCGUGGCCCAUCUUCUUUAUUGACGCGUCAAUGGCGGGCUUACGCCUGCCUGAACAUAUAUUAAUAAUCACCAGCCAAUUAGAAAAGCAGAGUAGAGAUACAAAGAGGGGGGAGGGGGCUACAAGGACAGGGUGAUAAUUAAGCUAAAAUCUCGCAGUGAUACAACAUGGAGCCCGAGUCCCUCUCUAACCAGAGCCCCGUGAGUUCCUCUUCCUUCCAACCAAAAUCCAGCUUCUUCCUGUUCUUUACAACAAUACUGGUAUUUCUGCUGCCCAAAUCUUGCCUAUACAGUGCACAAACCAAUCUGGUGAUGAACUCCAAAUCCUACUGGGACCAAAAAUCCAUGGAUUCCUCUUGCUUUCAACCAAAAUGCUCCAGCUUCUUCCUGUUAUUCACAAUACUGCUGUCUCUGCUGCCCAGAUCUUCUUGCCUACAGUUCACAAACCAAUCUGGUGAUGAACACCAAAUCCUCCUGGGACUCGAGAGAUAUUGGGGGAGAUCACCUGUGCUUGGCAGAUGGACCUCACUUCUUCUAACCACUGUAAAUGGGGAGGAGUUACAUGCAAAGAUGGUUUGGUCACUGCCAUUUCCCUUCCACGGCAAACCUUUAGGAAACCAAUCCCACCGUCCCUUUGCCUCCUCAAGAAUCUUACCUACUUGGACCUCUCCUACAAUAACUUCUCCACUUCAUUCCCUACCAUACUCUACAAUUGCUCCAAUCUGAAGUACCUAGACCUUUCCAACAAUGCCUUUGGUGGGAAACUCGCAGCUGACAUAAACAGUUUAUCAGCAAAGCUCGAGCAUCUCAACUUAUCAAGCAAUCGUAUCAUGGGGGAAAUUCCACCAUCGAUUGGAUGGUUUCCAAAGCUCAAGUCGCUGCUCCUCGACACCAACCAGUUUGACGGAAGUUAUCCAGCAAAGGACAUCAGCAAUCUGGCCAACCUCGAGGUGCUGACACUAGCGGAAAAUCCAUUUCUGCCAGCUCCAUUUCAAGUUGAGCUUGGCAAGUUGACACGCCUCACAUACUUGUGGCUGUCAGGUAUGAACAUGACAGGUGAGAUCCCUGAGAGCCUGUCAAGCCUCACAGAGCUCAGUCUGUUGAGUGUGUCAAAUAAUAUGCUGCAAGGCACAAUUCCGACAUGGGUAUGGCAGCAUAAGAAGCUUCAGUACUUGUACAUGUUUGCCAACAGUUUCACAGGCGAGAUUUCCUCCAGUGUCACCGCCGUAAACUUGGUAGAGCUUGAUGUGUCCUCAAACAAUCUGACAGGGACAAUACCAGAUGACUUUGGUAGGCUCAUCAACCUUACCAUGUUGUUUCUCUACACGAAUCAACUUCAUGGGUCAAUACCGCCAAGCAUUGGGUUGCUGCCGAAUCUCAGCGAUAUACGGCUAUUUGAGAACAUGUUAUCUGGUUCCCUUCCACCAGAGCUUGGUAAGCACUCACCACUAGGUAAUCUUGAGGUCUGCAACAAUAACCUCUCGGGCGAGCUGCCAGCUGAUCUUUGCUCCAACAGGAAGUUAUAUGACAUCGUUGUGUUCAAUAAUAACUUUUAUGGAAAGCUUCCACAAUCGCUAGACGGCUGCUACCGGUUGAACAAUUUAAUGCUGUACAACAAUCAUUUUACUGGAGAGUUCCCCAAGAGCAUCUGGUCAGUGGUGACAAAUGAGCUAACGACAGUUAUGAUCCAAAACAACAAUUUCUCUGGGACCUUUCCUACCCAGCUUCCAUGGAACUUUACACGUCUUGAGAUGAGCAAUAAUAGAUUCUCUGGUCCCAUUCCGACUUUAGCAGGCAAAAUCGAAGUAUUCAGGGCAGCAAACAACUCUCUUUGUGGCGAAAUUCCCUGGAAUUUGAUGGGUAUUUCACAGGUAACAGAACUUGACCUUUCUGGAAAUCAAAUUACUGGAUCAAUACCCAUGACAAUUGGAGUGCUAAAGCUCAAUGCACUUAAUCUAAGUGGAAAUCAGAUAUCUGGUACUAUACCUGCAGCGUUUGGAUUUACGUCAGGGCUAACCAUCCUUGACCUCUCCUCGAAUGCGCUAUCUGGCGAGAUCCCAAAAGCGAUCAAUAAGUUGAAACUGAACUUUCUAAACCUCUCCAUGAAUCAACUCACGGGGGAAAUUCCAACAUCAUUGCAAAACGAAGCAUAUGAGCGAAGCUUCCUCUUCAAUCCAGGCCUCUGUGUCUCAUCGAAUAAUUCCAUCCCUAAUUUCCCGAUUUGCAGUGCAAGAGCAAAUAACAACAAUGAUAUCUCCAGGAGGCUUAUAGCCCUCUUUCUUGUUCUUGCCAGUAUCAUGCUUGUGGGUUCGGCAGUUGGUGGUUUCUUGCUAUUAAAGAGGCAAAAGAAUACCCAAGAUCCUCUAUCAUGGAAGCUGACCCAGUUCCAUGCACUGCAUUUCACAGAGUAUGAUGUUCUUUCUGGGCUCUGUGAGCAGAACUGGAUUGGAAGUGGCAGGUCUGGCAAGGUGUACCGAAUUAGUGUUGUGGAUGGAGAAGGUGGUAGUAGAAUGGUGGCUGUUAAAAAGAUAUGGAACGCCCAGAACCUUGACAGCAAGCUCGAGAAGGACUUCCUUGCAGAGGUCCAGAUAUUGGGUGAGAUCCGGCACAUAAACAUUGUCAAGCUGCUCUGCUGCAUCUCAAGCUCAGAGGCAAAGCUUCUUGUCUAUGAGUACAUGGAAAAUGGUAGCUUAGACAGGUGGCUCCAUCAGAGGGAUAGAGUUGGUUCACUGGCACCUUUGGAUUGGCCCACCAGAUUGCAAAUUGCCAUCGACUCGGCAAGAGGUCUCUGCUAUAUGCACCAUGAUAGUUCACCCGCCAUAGUGCACUGUGAUGUUGGUAGAAUCAAGUACUCUACCAGGUCUAGGGCGUAGGUGGUAAGGGAAGGAUGGAGGGGGACGUGGCGAGGAACGGGCGCGCCGGCGGCAGGGCGCCGUCGCGAGCUAGGAGAAGGGUGGCGGCGGUUAGGGCUGUUGGCGGCUAGGGUUUCCGGCUCCUCAGGGAGCCGGACAAUAGGAGAUAAUAUUCUUCUUAUUGCCUGAUCUGAAAAGAGUCUUACAAUUUAUAUUUAUAACCUAGAUAACUUGCACACGAAUUAACCUAAGAUAACCUGUGGGCUAAGAUUGCCCGAUGGGCCUUCCAUAUGACAGGCCGGACAUAACACUUCUCCCCGUCUGCACAAACAGCUCGUCCUCGAGUUGUAAGGUGGGGAAGCGCUUGCUUGAACUCCUCGAGGUAAUCAACCAGCGUCAAACACCUUCUCAACAUCUGGGGCGGCCAGGUCGGCGGCGACGGCGUCCUCCGGAAUGUAGUCUGCCACCUCCAGGUAGAAGAGUCGCGGGCAGGCGUGGCCGGGCUUGUAGGGUUCGUUGCAGUUGAAGCACAACCCUUGGCGGCGACGCUCGAUAUCUCAGCUGGGAUGAGCCGGCGGAACGGGCGCCCCGCGGUCGCGGCGAGGGGUGCCGCAGAAGCCUGCACAGGCCGACCCUGCGCGGAAUCCGGUCCGGGUAGCGACCCGGCAGUCUGGGACGGUGAUUCCGGCUGGAUGGCCACCGCGCGGCGCUCGAACGCGCGGGCGUAAUACAUGGCCGACUGGAGAUCCUGGGUGGUCCGGCAGACCGCCCACAAAUAACUCGGCGCGCUGGGUUGCGGAGACGCCCGGCGCGUGGCACGCCAGGGCCUGGAAGCGGUCGGCGUAGUCCUGCACCGUGGAUGUGAAAGAUAAGCGGCCGAGGGCCGCCAAUCGGCUCCCGCGGAUAGGAGGCCCGAACCGGAGGAGACAGAGCUCCCGGAAGCGCUCCCAUGGUGGCAUGCCGCCCUCGUCCUGCUCGAGGGCGUAGUACUAGGUCUGCGCCGCGCCUCGGAGAUGAUAGGACGCGAGCCAGGUACGAUCCGAAGCGAGCGUCCGCUGCCCUCGAAAGAACUGCUCGCACUGGUUGAGCCAGUUGAGGGGGUCCUCCGUGCCCUCGUAAGUGGCGAAGUCCAGUUUGGCGAAUCAAGGGGGUGUUGGCCCACCGUGCCCGGGGGCGGCCGCAGUCGCCGCCAGCGCGUAUGCUGGGUCGGGAAGCGCUGGGGCGUAGUUCGCCGAGCUGGAGGGGUGAUCAAACCGCAGAGAGGGCGUCGGGUGUUCCGGCGCCGUGGAGUAGACCGGGCCCGGAGACGAGCCGGUCGCCCAAGCGGGGAUCGGCGAUGGUGACGGUGGAAACUGCACCUGGUGCAGGGGCCGACCCGUAGCCCUAGGCGCGGGUGGUGGUAAUGUCGAUGGCGGCGGCGCCUGGUGGAUCUGCUGCACCGGCGCCUGCGGCGUGGGGGCCGGCGGUGACGCCGGAAGAAGCUGCUGGGUCUGGCCCCCCAGCGGUGCGGUGGAGGCUGGCCAUGCUGGCCACGGCUGUCCCGCAGCCGAGUAGUGCGGCAGCAGCGGCGGCGGCUGGGACGCCCCUCCGUAGGGCGCCUGGAAGGCCGGGGUGGGCCACUGUAGCGGCGGCGGCCCGUAGGCGGUGGUGCUCGGUGGCGGGGGCUGGUUCCCGGCGAGGUAGAGGGUAAUACCCCUGACCGCCUGGACAAGCUCCCGCAGGGUGCCCGACAUCUCCUCGGGCGAGAGGAGCGGAGGCGGGUCCGCCGUGAUGGUGAUGGGCGCGGUGGUGAUGGUGGUGCCGGAUGCGAUCUCCGCCAUCGCGGUGGCAGUGGCCGGCGGCAGCGAGAGCGGGGUGGAGGUGGAUGGUAGCGGCGGUGAUGGAGAUUGUGACAUGAUCGGCCUGGUGUCUCUGGAUACCAAAUUGGUAGAAUCAAGUACUCUACCAGGUCUAGGGCGUAGGUGGUAAGGGAAGGAUGGAGGGGGACGUGGCGAGGAACGGGCGCGCCGGCGGCAGGGCGCCGUCGCGAGCUAGGAGAAGGGUGGCGGCGGUAGGGCUGUUGGCGGCUAGGGUUUCCGGCUCCUCAGGGAGCCGGGCAAUAGGAGAUAAUAUUCUUCUUAUUGCCUGAUCUGAAAAGAGUCUUACAAUUUAUAUUUAUAACCUAGAUAACUUGCACACGGAUUAACCUAAGAUAACUUGUGGGCUAAGAUUGCCCGAAGGGCCUUCCAUAUGACAGGCCGGACAUAACAGAUGUCAAGUCUGCCAAUAUCCUUCUGGACCCCGAGUUCAGAGCAAAGAUAGCUGACUUCGGGCUUGCUCGGAUUCUUCUCAAAACCGGAGAUCCUGAGUCAAUUUCUGGCAUAGGUGGUACCUUUGGCUACAUGGCACCAGGUAAGAAAUAGAAAUGCAGACUCAAACUAGUAUAUAUUUAGGAUGUACCAUGUGCUAAUCGCAGACUAGCUUUUUUGCAGAGUACGGAUACCGGCUUAAGGUGAAUGAGAAGGUCGAUGUCUACAGCUUCGGAGUGGUUCUGUUGGAGCUCACAACGGGGAGGGUGGCAAAUGAUGGAGGCUUGGAGUACUGCUUGGCAGAAUGGGCAUGGAGACAGUAUCAAGAGUAUGGCCUGUCAAUUGAUCUUCUUGAUGAAGACAUUCGAGAUCCAGCCAACAUUGAAGAUGCAUUCGCAGUGUUUACGCUAGGUGUGAUCUGUACAGGUGGGCAGCCUUCAGUGCGGCCAUCAAUGAAGGAUGUGCUGUACGCUCUUCUCCGGUUUGAACAUAAAUCCAGGGAAAGAAGCCCGCAGCAUGUUGUCUCUGAAGAAAUGUCACUUCUAGAAUCCUAGACUAACUGAAGACGUAGAGGAAUAACGAUAUUCCAGUUGAUGGAGUAUAAUAUAUAGAAUUUCCGGGUGCAAAUGAUGUACUAGGUGAUUUUCUGUUACCUUAUCCAUUUUGUGUCGACAUAAAGCUUGUGAAGUGUAUAAGUAUUUUUUUGACCGGAAUGGCAGGUGCUCUGNNNNNNNNNNNNNNNNNNNNNNNNNNNNNNNNNNNNNNNNNNNNNNNNNNNNNNNNNNNNNNNNNNNNNNNNNNNNNNNNNNNNNNNNNNNNNNCAACGAGUUGAGAAAUCAACCGGGAAACCUAUCUAAAGAACCAAAAACAAGGUAAGCCAGGCCGCCAAAAACAGCAUGGCAAAGACAGAGGGACUACUCCCAUGCCUCCUUCAGGAGGCCUAACUCGUCCCUAAUCAAAGACUAAUUCCGGGCUAAAUGCUGAAAAUGCACGCAGUUAUUAUUCUAUAUACAGACCAAAUAUUCGCUGAAAAUGUACAUAAUGAUAUGGAUGUUGGACUACAAAAUUACUGGUUAUUUUUGGCCUGUGUGUGUGUGUGUGUGUGUGUGUGCCGCAUUUAGCUCUUUAGAAGGCUGGUACUGAUCAAAGUGGGUGGGAAAUUAGCAUAUUAUCGUGAGAAGAAUAGAUAGGUCAUGCUCUGAUGUGCUAAAGGAACACUUGGCAUUUACAGGGUAAUGUUUAGGCCACGACGCUUGCUUACGAAGAACUACUGGUAAAAAACACAACAAAACAUCUGAACUUCUAGCUGCCUCUUGAAAAAAAUAUCUAAACUCACAAGGUCAACAUAAAUUGCAACUCUUUCUUCAAGAGAGAAACAUAACUGGAGCAAGAGCAUGUAUGGAAGAGUCUAGAAUAGAGUAGAAGUGUGUGAAUGUAAUGUAAAUCUGUUUCAAAAAAACAUAGUAAUUAUAUUCUCCAUUAGAAGAGGUGUACUAAGUUUAAUCAUGAAAUCUUCUAUAUACUACACAUGGCAGGAUCUGAUUCUGGUGUAAUUAAGGCCAACUCCAUCGCAUGACCCCAAAUGGCCCAUGCGGCUCGACAUUGAAUCGGCCAAGAGGAGGGCCCGGCGGACCGUUGCGGCGGAGAAGAAAGCCGCUGCCGACUACGCCGCCGAGGCCGCGGCCGCGCAACACAAGGCCGCUGUUGACCAGAACGAGGCCAUCCUCGCCAAGGCCACGCAGGCAGCGAUGACGCAGGCCCUCGUCAUGCUAGGGUUAUGCCGACCCGGGCCGGCCAUUCUCUUCGCCGCCGCCAUGGCCGCGACGAGCACAGGAUCGUCGUCCGUCCGUCCUCCGCAGUUCCAGUCGCCGAGCUCCUAUAACACCGGAGACGGCCGGUUUUCAUGUGCCACGGCAGAAUGGUCAGACCCGGUUCUCCACAUUGCCGGACGGCAGCGUGAUCGCGCCGGCUAGUCCCGCCAACCAGGCCGUCAUCGACAUCAACGUCACACCUGGAUUCAGUGGCGCUGGCCAGUCGUCCGACGGGAUGCAAAGGAAGCAGCCCUCGUCGAUUCCUACGGCCAACCUUCCCGGCGCCCGCAACCUGUUCGACGAAAUGCCAAUCCCGACGCCGACGGGCGACGAUCCUGACUACACCAUGUUCAUGGAGAGCGUAAUCUUCGAGGGUCGGGCCAGGCCUUCCACCCCGACGGCCAAGGCCAAGGCUUCGAUCCCGACGAGACCCAAAGUCAAGACGGCCGCGGCCAAGAUGGUACGGACCACUACGGUGUCCACAUAGAAGAAGAGGCUGACGACCAUGGCAACUCAUGGCAUGAAGAUGACGACAUGUAUUGCGAAGAUGAGGAAGAAGAGGUUGACAUUGCGGAGGAGCCAUUGUUUAUCGAUGAGCUGGCCCAAAGAGCCGAGGCACAAAGGAGGAAGCAAAGCAUUCGCACAGGAUCAUACAACAAAGAAGAGGGCACGUUGAUUUGCGAGAGUUGGAUGGAGAUAGGCCAAGAUCCCAAGACCGGUGCCGAGCAAAAAGGAUCCGUCUUUUCGACGAGAGUUCAUAAAACCUUUCACGAACGGAGGAAGUUUGCGCCCUACAAGCUUGCGAGCAACCGUGGCAUCAACUCAAUCCAAAAGAGAUGGGGUUUCAUUCAACAAGAAUGCAAUAAGUAUUGUGCCGAUCUUGAGAGCAUUGAAGCCCGUCCCGUGAGUGGCCUAGGCGCGGUGACUUGGUAUGACCUCUCCUAUUUGCAUUGCUAUGCCAUGUUCAUGUUUGUUGUAUCUUGUGUCCUCCACAUAUUUGUGGCCUUCUUUUUGAUUGUGUAGGCAUUCCAAUCUUUGGAAGCCUUCAAGGCCCGGCAUAAGAACAAGCCAUUCACUCUCACUCAUUGUUGGUCGCUCAUCAAAGAUUGUCACAAGUUCAAAGAUCAAUAUGCCGCUCUAAAGAAGAAAGGAGGGACAGUGGUCGUGGCUGCUAAUGGAGAUGUGCUCAAGAGGCCGAGGGGCAAGACCAACUCGAAGCUUGACGAGAAGCGUGAUGUGGCAUCUAUCGCCUUGCAAGAAACUUUGCACGGCAUGAUGACUCAAAAGGAAGUGAGGGAGGAGAGGAAGCGCCAAGGAAAGGAGGAGCAAAUGAAGAUAUACUUGGAGCUUCAAAUGAAGAAGCUUGACAUGGAGGAGGCCGCCAAGAGGAGGAAGCUCGACAUGAAGGAGGCUGCCCAAUUGAAGAAGCUCGCGAUCGAGGCCACCAGUGCCGACACCAAAGCAAAAGAGGUGGUGUUAGCAAUCAUGAGCGUGAACUUGACCAACAUGUCCCUGAAGAGAAGAAUUUGGUUCGCGAACCGGCAAAAGGAGAUGUUCGACCAAGACGGCCUGAACUAGGGAGGCCUCGGCCAUGGACUAUGGCCGUUCUUUUUAAAGGCUGGCAAGUGUGCCAGCCGCUGGCUAUGUUGCCAGCAAGAAAGUUGUUCAUUUUGAAGGCUGACUAGUGUGCCGGCCGCUGGCUUUGUUGCCGGCGUGAAGACUUAGGGCUUGACCAUUUUGUAGGCUGGCAUAUGUUUGCUGGCCGCUGGCUUUGUUGCCGGCAUGCACUAUGAACUACGGCCGCGGUGGACAAAAAAUUCAUUUGCAAAAGAUUUCAGGCAGCCAGACCCAGAUGCGUCCGCGCGUUGGGCGCAUCCAGAAAAAUGGCCGGACGCCGCCCCAUUGCCCUACCCAAACGGACGUUCGUUCGCGGUCGAUGGUUGGAGUUGGCCUAAUGGUAAAUCAAACGGCCCGCAACACUCAGUUUUGCCAGAUCUUGACCAUCGGAUCAAGUUCAUCCAAUGAUAUACAUUCAAAGUUAUUCAUACACUAUAUAGAUGAUACAGAUAUAGAAAACACACAGAAAAAGGAAAGCAUCUAAAAUUCUAGCUGCCUCUUGAAAAAAAUAUCUGGAUCACAACAACGAUGGUCUGAAUUGACUCUGAACUUUCUUGUGGUGAGGAAAAUUGUCUUCGAAUUUCACACAUCACAAUAAUAAAAAAGAGUAUUCAGUAUAUAGACUACUAAAAACUGAACCUCGGUAUGGCAUCCGGACAUUUAUUUUUUCUGAAAAGGAGGGUGACCCCCAGGGUAUGCAUCCAACACAAGUGUUUGAUAAUUGGACGAGAGUUACAGGGCUUACUUGCUGAUCUCGUACAGGCUAUAGAAGCGAGGGGCGAGGGGUGUGACGCAGCUGGGGAGACGGAGGAAAUCCCUUCUCGGUGCGGCGUUGGAAGCGCUAGAAACUGUCGUCGCCAGCGACGAAUGAGUAAGAGGAGAAUCAG